This 610-nucleotide ribosomal RNA is filed under the name alpha proteobacterium IMCC14384. RNAcentral describes it as "bacterial SSU rRNA". It matches the Rfam family "Bacterial small subunit ribosomal RNA", at positions 29 to 684 of the family's 1533-position model. The record is from RNAcentral. Lineage: Bacteria; Pseudomonadati; Pseudomonadota; Alphaproteobacteria.
ACGUACGCUGGCGGCACGCCUAACACAUGCAAGUCGAACGAAGUAGCAAUACUUAGUGGCAGACGGGUGAGUAACAUGUAGGUAUCUGCCCUUUGGCCUGGAAUAACACGAGGAAACUUGUGCUAAUACCGGAUAAGUCUUUACGGAGAAAGCUUUAUGCACCAUUGGAUGAGCCUGCACUUGAUUAGUUUGUUGGUGGGGUAAUGGCCUACCAAGACUGUGAUCAAUAGCUGAUUUGAGAGGAUGAUCAGCCACAUUGGGACUGAGACACGGCCCAAACUCCUACGGGAGGCAGCAGUGGGGAAUCUUGCACAAUGGAGGAAACUCUGAUGCAGCGAUGCCGCGUGAGUGAAGAAGGCCCUUGGGUUGUAAAGCUCUUUCGUCGGGGAAGAAAAUGACUGUACCCGAAUAAGAAGGUCCGGCUAACUUCGUGCCAGCAGCCGCGGUAAUACGAAGGGACCUAGCGUAGUUCGGAAUUACUGGGCUUAAAGAGUUCGUAGGUGGUUGAAAAAGUUAGUGGUGAAAUCCCAGAGCUUAACUCUGGAACUGCCAUUAAAACUUUUCAGCUAGAGUAUGAUAGAGGAAAGCAGAAUUUCUAGUGUAGAGGUGA